GAUGAAGAACGUAGCGAAAUGCGAUAAGUAAUGUGAAUUGCAGAAUUCAGUGAAUCAUCGAAUCUUUGAACGCACAUUGCGCCCGCCAGCACUCCGGCGGGCAUGCCUGUUCGAGCGUCAUUUCAACCAUCAAGCCCCCAGGGGCUUGUGCUGGGGCCCUGCGGCUGCCCGCAGGCCCUGAAAACCAGUGGCGGGCUCGCUAGUCACACCGAGCGCAGUAGCACAUCUCGCUCAGGGCGUGCGGCGGGCUCCUGCCGUGAAACCCCCCACUGUAACCCCAAAGGUUGACCUCGGAUCAGGUAGGAAUACCCGCUGAACUUAAGCAUAUCAAUAAGCGGAGGA
This 342-nucleotide unclassified non-coding RNA is filed under the name soil metagenome. RNAcentral's name for it is "partial contains 5.8S ribosomal RNA, internal transcribed spacer 2, and large subunit ribosomal RNA". The stretch from base 1 to 120 matches the Rfam family "5.8S ribosomal RNA", at positions 35 to 154 of the family's 154-position model. The record is from RNAcentral.